This is a non-coding RNA of Pelobates cultripes (western spadefoot toad), 241 nucleotides long. NCBI's taxonomy places the organism in Eukaryota, Metazoa, Chordata, Amphibia, Anura, Pelobatidae. The record is from the annotation of a GenBank genome assembly.
CAAAAAGAUGCAAAAGCCAUUAGUGACGAUACUUCAAACCAGUUGGUUAGGUGAUGGUCAGACAUGAAUCGUUUGUAUAGGUGAAAAGCUCUGUGAUAUGCGUGUUGAGUGCUAGUGGAUAACGCUAAUUUUGUGAGAGUGUGGCUGUGCUGAAGUAGUUCAUCUACUCCAUGACAAGGUCUUGGAAGGUUGGAGCUGGGGUUGCCAUACGAGCUGCCGAGGGUAGGGACCGUCUGAAAGC